RNAcentral lists this ribosomal RNA (460 nucleotides) under uncultured bacterium. Its description in RNAcentral is "partial 16S ribosomal RNA". It matches the Rfam family "Bacterial small subunit ribosomal RNA", at positions 338 to 795 of the family's 1533-position model. The record is from RNAcentral.
CCUACGGGAGGCAGCAGUGAGGAAUAUUGGUCAAUGGACGAGAGUCUGAACCAGCCAAGUAGCGUGAAGGAUGACUGCCCUAUGGGUUGUAAACUUCUUUUAUAUGGGAAUAAAACGUUCCACGUGUGGGAUUUUGUAUGUACCAUAUGAAUAAGGAUCGGCUAACUCCGUGCCAGCAGCCGCGGUAAUACGGAGGAUCCGAGCGUUAUCCGGAUUUAUUGGGUUUAAAGGGAGCGUAGGUGGAUUGUUAAGUCAGUUGUGAAAGUUUGCGGCUCAACCGUAAAAUUGCAGUUGAAACUGGCAGUCUUGAGUACAGUAGAGGUGGGCGGAAUUCGUGGUGUAGUGGUGAAAUGCUUAGAUAUCACGAAGAACUCCGAUUGCGAAGGCAGUUCACUGGACUGCAACUGACACUGAGGCUCGAAAGUGUGGGUAUCAAACAGGAUUAGAUACCCUAGUAGUC